UGAGCCUUCCCUGGCACAAAUAGACAUAAAUAAUCACUACUGGAUAGUCCCUGGGUCAAGCUGAGGGAACCACACACAUCAAGGGAACAGAGCUGUGCAUGUGAAAGUGUCACUAGUGCGCCAUGUGCUCACUGUCCUACCCAUACCCCCACCCUGCCCACCCAGUCCCAAAUCUGCCCUUAUGAAGAAGGCCACUGUUUGCAGACAUAUCAGCCCCUUUCGGGCCCUUUCACAGAGGUCCAGAGUUGAGGCAGCCUCCAGGUAAUGUGCAGAAAUAACCUUCAGUCCUCUGGGAAAGAAGACUUGCUCCUUUUGGCACCUGGAGGUAAACUCCGUGAAAGCUUGGGUUUGCUGAGUGUGUUUUAUGUGCUUGUACUAGGUCUGUCACAGAUUGCCCACAGCUGUUGCAAGACCACGUGCUUCACAGGCCACAGGUUCUUCCUGCUUUCUAACCACAUAUGCAAAGGCCAUCUGCUCCGUUUACCACAGCUCUUGCAGGUCUGCAGCUCCUGUACACACAACAAACGUGAGGAAGGGGCUGUCAUCUCUCACCACGCUCAGAAGU
This is a long non-coding RNA of Gallus gallus (chicken), 565 nucleotides long. Lineage: Eukaryota; Metazoa; Chordata; Aves; Galliformes; Phasianidae. The record is from Ensembl.